This is a non-coding RNA of Myotis davidii, 34 nucleotides long. NCBI's taxonomy places the organism in Eukaryota, Metazoa, Chordata, Mammalia, Chiroptera, Vespertilionidae. The record is from Rfam.
CUGUCUCUUGUUUCAACAUGUUUGGACAGAACAG